CCUUCUUUCAAUAACAAAGUUCUCCAUUCAAAGAUCUCUUUUCUCUUUCAAGCUUCCUCUUCUUUAGUUGAAUCCUCCAAUAGCAAAAGAUCUCCAAAUAAUACUCUUCUUCUGCUAUUCUUUACACUCUAUAGAUUAAGGUGUGCUAGGCUGCUAGCUACCUCGAACACCAUAAUAAAAAAAGGAUUAAUCGAUGAAAAUGUACGUGACAAUUUUCUAUUUUUAGACAAUACGUUGAAUUUAUUAUUUGUAAUACGAUGAAUCCGUUAAUUUAUUAAUAGAUUGAUU
Molecule: long non-coding RNA, 288 nt
Filed under: Nicotiana benthamiana
Lineage: Eukaryota; Viridiplantae; Streptophyta; Magnoliopsida; Solanales; Solanaceae
Description: long non-coding RNA (NBEN_LNC028563)
Source: RNAcentral